GAGCGAAGGAGGCGACGCAGAGAGCGAAAGUGCUCAACCCGCCAGCCGCCACCCGCGAGGCCAUCGCCAUAAGCAACAUAAACACCCGAAAGAGAGCAAACUCCAUCAGCUAAAUCUGCAAGCGUAAAAAGAUGGCGUUCGCAGGCCAAUCCACGACGCUUGGCCAGCUGCAAUCCAGGCCACCCUUCCGCGGUGGCCGCGACGUGGCCUCUCCAGGGAUCAGGGGAGAUCAACAGGGAAGCAGCCCAGCGCUCGUCAAGUCCAGACGUCUCUUCGUCUCCAGCCUCGCCUCCCCUGCAGCUCCUCUUCCCAGUGGACCCCGUCGGGCUCUCGUGAAUUCCAGAUCUUUUUAUCAAUGAAGGAAUCGCGCUUCCGCUCAGUCCUUCUGACUUCCUUCCACGUCAUAUAGGAUUCAUCUAACAGUUCAAAAGAGGAUCCUAUAGCAUGCACGGGUUAUUCUACAUGGUUCAUAAAACCGAUGAAUGGAU
RNAcentral lists this long non-coding RNA (488 nucleotides) under Penaeus japonicus. RNAcentral's name for it is "uncharacterized LOC122266908". The record is from RNAcentral. Lineage: Eukaryota; Metazoa; Arthropoda; Malacostraca; Decapoda; Penaeidae.